This 254-nucleotide ribosomal RNA is filed under the name uncultured bacterium. Its description in RNAcentral is "partial 16S ribosomal RNA". It matches the Rfam family "Bacterial small subunit ribosomal RNA", at positions 524 to 776 of the family's 1533-position model. The record is from RNAcentral.
UACGGGGGGAGCAAACGUUGUUCGGAAUUAUUGGGCGUAAAGCGCGUGUAGGCGGCCUGGCAAGUCGGGUGUGAAAGCCCUCAGCUCAACUGAGGAAGUGCGCCCGAAACUGCUAUGGCUUGAGUGCCGGAGAGGGUGGCGGAAUUCCCCAAGUAGAGGUGAAAUUCGUAGAUAUGGGGAGGAACACCGGUGGCGAAGGCGGCCACCUGGACGGUGACUGACGCUGAGACGCGAAAGCGUGGGGAGCAAACAGG